This 76-nucleotide transfer RNA is filed under the name Desulfobotulus mexicanus. RNAcentral's name for it is "Desulfobotulus sp. PAR22N tRNA-His". It matches the Rfam family "tRNA". Rfam says of the family: Transfer RNA (tRNA) molecules are approximately 80 nucleotides in length. Lineage: Bacteria; Pseudomonadati; Thermodesulfobacteriota; Desulfobacteria; Desulfobacterales; Desulfobacteraceae. The record is from RNAcentral.
GUGGGUAUAGCUCAGUCGGCAGAGCACAAGGUUGUGGUCCUUGGGGUCGAGGGUUCGAGCCCCUCUACUCACCCCA